ACGGUACAGGAUGGGCAUGCGUCCUAUUAGCUAGAUGGUAAGGUAACGGCUUACCAUGGCAACGAUAGGUAGGGGGCCUGAGAGGGUGAUCCCCCACACUGGUACUGAGACACGGACCAG
RNAcentral lists this ribosomal RNA (120 nucleotides) under uncultured bacterium. RNAcentral describes it as "partial 16S ribosomal RNA". It matches the Rfam family "Bacterial small subunit ribosomal RNA", at positions 215 to 334 of the family's 1533-position model. The record is from RNAcentral.